This is a long non-coding RNA of Homo sapiens (human), 696 nucleotides long. RefSeq annotates it as MID1IP1 antisense RNA 1. NCBI's taxonomy places the organism in Eukaryota, Metazoa, Chordata, Mammalia, Primates, Hominidae. The record is from RefSeq and is marked validated. The transcript has 2 exons.
GGCCUUGCGCGCGCUCCCCGCGUGGGAUGACCAGAAUGCACGUGCCUUGGUUGCAGAGUGAGCCCCUCAGCCCCGAAUCUGGAGUGGCCGCGGCCGGGAAACAGGAACCCGGGUUUAUUAUUAGCCGUCGGGGAAGAGGGGCCGGCAGCAGUUCCAACAGUGUGAUAACACACGGAAAACGGAAAUCCAAGGGAUCUAGCAAAAGGAUUCCACCCAGCAAAAACGCCAGCUUGGGAGAGGGCCCCUACCUAACUCCUUCCUUCUGGCCUCCACCCCUCCCCUGAUACGUUUCCUUCCGUCUAGUCUCGAGAUAACCCUUCAUCCCCCAGUUUCUUGACUCUGGCCGCUGUUCUUGAACAUUUCUUAAACACUUUCAGAGAAAGAUGGCUCAUGCACCUGCCUGCAAAACUUCCCAAACCGGGCCUCCCAGCUCCCCCAGACCCCGCAACAACUCACACCCGCCGGGGAAACUCCAGAAGGAAAAGGUCCGCCGGCCAGAGCUCUGGGCCCUUGGAAUCACCCCACCACCGCCCCUCUGGCUUCAGCCAAUCAGAAGCCGUCAGAAAAUAUUAUGCAAAUGAAUCCUGAUGCUCCAGCCAGUCAGAAGCCGCGGAGCCCUCCCCCACGCAGCGUCCUCUUUCACCCCAGCCCCGCCAAGCUGGCUGCCGCGUCCCUGGCAACCGGCGCGCAGCCAGU